This 67-nucleotide transfer RNA is filed under the name Meles meles (Eurasian badger). RNAcentral describes it as "tRNA-Val". Lineage: Eukaryota; Metazoa; Chordata; Mammalia; Carnivora; Mustelidae. The record is from RNAcentral.
CAAAGUGUAGCUUAACCAAAGCGCCUGGCUUACACCCAGAGGAUUUCAUAUGUCAUGACCACUUUGA